AUACUCUGGUUCCUCUUCAGAUCGAAUAAAUCGUUCUCCUUUUACUAAAGAUUUCUGUGGAGAGGAACAAUCAUGAGUUGUUAUGAAUAUUUUGAAGUCCGAUCUUUUUAUUCAGUU
Small nuclear RNA from Bombina bombina (fire-bellied toad), 117 nucleotides. RefSeq annotates it as U5 spliceosomal RNA. The transcript has a single exon. NCBI's taxonomy places the organism in Eukaryota, Metazoa, Chordata, Amphibia, Anura, Bombinatoridae. The record is from RefSeq and is a predicted model, not a curated record.